AUGAUGAUGAUGGCCAAAUUAAUCAGGCAAUGAUGUUAUUGUGUACUUGUUUGUUUCCGUGAGUUUUUUGUCACCCCUCGUAAGCAUAAUAAAGUGUGUUUCCGGAGCCAGAUCUCCAAUUACAUCAAAAGUAAGGUGAGAUGGUGGUUCAUGAGUCACGACAAGAACUCGGUGUUGAUUUUAAGAUCCGUUUGCUGAAGUCGGUGAACAAUCUGAAAACUAGACCACCUUCUUACCGCAUCGGCUCUCUCUUCAUUUUUGGUCCGUGAACGAUUUGACAGAUAAUAAUAGAAGAAUGUGAUUAUUAUUUCUCAGUUCAAAACUUCGUGCUCAAGAUCUCUAUUAAG
RNAcentral lists this long non-coding RNA (347 nucleotides) under Citrus x clementina. RNAcentral describes it as "Citrus clementina (C. clementina) long non-coding RNA (CCLE_LNC002070)". The record is from RNAcentral. Lineage: Eukaryota; Viridiplantae; Streptophyta; Magnoliopsida; Sapindales; Rutaceae.